AGCGCCGGCGAGUGCCAGGACUGCGUGGCGGAGGCGGUCGGCCGGCUCAGGGCGGAGUGCGGGGCCGCCGGCUGGGGGGAUGUGUUCUUGGGGAAGUGCUACGCGCGGUUCUCGCACGCCGGAGUGCGCCCCCACGGCGGCGGCGGCGGAAAUGAUGUUAGAAACGACGACGUAGAGAUUGAAAAGACCCUCGCAGUAAUAAUUGGACUCAUCGCUGGAAUUGCCUUCGUCGUUGUUUUCCUCGCUUUCCUAAGCCAUUAUUGUGCCAAACAAAAAGGUGGCAAAUGAAGAGAGGGUUUCAAAAGGGAUGAUUCUAGAAUCAAGCUUCUCUCUCUCCUACAUCUUCUUUUGAAUUUGGCCAUGGCUUUGGUGGUGGUUCUCUCUUUAAAGUUAAAAACUUUUUAGCUUCCCUUAUUCUUCUUCUAUUUCUCUCUCUCUCUAAAAGAAUUCCACACAGAGAGUAUAUAAAAAGAAGUGAUUGUUUGUUGCAUGGCAUAGAAUGGUUCAUUGAAAAGGAAGGCUGCAAAUAACAAAGAGGAAGUUCAAAAGAUUCGACAUGUCGGACCCACUUAAGUUCAAAUUUUAGCUUCUUAUGUUGCUUUUUUUUAUUUUUUUAUUUUAAUUUUCCUUUUUAUUUUCCACUAUUGAUAAUUGGAAUAUGAAUGCCUUUUUCUUUUAUGGGAAAAAGAAAGAAAAAAAAAAGAUGCAAUAUGUUAUUGGUGUGGGUUUGAUAU
Momordica charantia (bitter melon) is the source of this 734-nucleotide non-coding RNA. The record is from RefSeq and is a predicted model, not a curated record. NCBI's taxonomy places the organism in Eukaryota, Viridiplantae, Streptophyta, Magnoliopsida, Cucurbitales, Cucurbitaceae.